This 74-nucleotide transfer RNA is filed under the name Pseudomonas sp. GM18. RNAcentral describes it as "tRNA-OTHER". It matches the Rfam family "tRNA". From Rfam's summary of the family: Transfer RNA (tRNA) molecules are approximately 80 nucleotides in length. Their secondary structure includes four short double-helical elements and three loops (D, anti-codon, and T loops). The record is from RNAcentral. Lineage: Bacteria; Pseudomonadati; Pseudomonadota; Gammaproteobacteria; Pseudomonadales; Pseudomonadaceae.
UGACCGGUAGCUUAGAUAGGCAAAGCAACCGCUUGAUAAGCGGAAGAUCGUGGGAGCGAAACCCACUCGGUAAA